CAAACUUCAACGUAUAGGAGGUCUUACCUGCCCAGUGACUACAUGUUAAACGGCCGCGGUAUUUUGACCGUGCAAAGGUAGCGCAAUCACUUGUCUUUUAAAUGAAGACCCGUAUGAAUGGUGAAACGAGGGCUUAACUGUCUCCUUUUUCAAGUCAGUGAAAUUGAUCUCUCCGUGCAGAAGCGGACAUAAAAAUACAAGACGAGAAGACCCUUUGGAGCUUAAGAUAAAAAUCAACUAUGUCAAUAAUAAACUAAACCAAAUAGAAACUGAUUUAACAUCUUCGGUUGGGGCGACCGCGGGAGAAAAUAAAGCUCCCACGAGGACUGGGAAACAUCCUAAAACCAAGAGAGACAUCUCUACGUCACAGAAUUUCUGACCACUAAGAUCCGGCUACUAGCCGAUCAACGAACCAAGUUACCCUAGGGAUAACAGCGCAAUCCCCUUUCAGAGUCCAUAUCGACAAGGGGGUUUACGACCUCGAUGUUGGAUCAGGACAUCCUAAUGGUGCAGCCGCUAUUAAGGGUUCGUUUGUUCAACGAUUAAAGUCCU
This 552-nucleotide ribosomal RNA is filed under the name Vandellia cirrhosa (candiru). RNAcentral's name for it is "partial 16S ribosomal RNA". It matches the Rfam family "Bacterial large subunit ribosomal RNA", at positions 1832 to 2597 of the family's 2925-position model. Lineage: Eukaryota; Metazoa; Chordata; Actinopteri; Siluriformes; Trichomycteridae. The record is from RNAcentral.